This 418-nucleotide ribosomal RNA is filed under the name uncultured bacterium. RNAcentral's name for it is "bacterial SSU rRNA". It matches the Rfam family "Bacterial small subunit ribosomal RNA", at positions 127 to 540 of the family's 1533-position model. The record is from RNAcentral.
UGCCGAGUAAUGGGGGAUAACGCAUCGAAAGGUGUGCUAAUACCGCAUACCCUCUGAGGAGGAAAGCGGGGGACCUUCGGGCCUCGCGUUAUUCGAGCGGCCGACGUCUGAUUAGCUAGUUGGUGGGGUAAAGGCUCACCAAGGCGACGAUCAGUAGCGGGUCUGAGAGGAUGAUCCGCCACACUGGGACUGAGACACGGCCCAUACUCCUACGGGAGGCAGCAGUGGGGAAUUUUGGACAAUGGGCGAAAGCCUGAUCCAGCCAUGCCGCGUGAGUGAAGAAGGCCUUCGGGUUGUAAAGCUCUUUUGUCCGGGAGGAAAUCCCGCAACCUAAUACGUUGCGGGGAUGACAGUACUGGAAGAAUAAGCACCGGCUAACUACGUGCCAGCAUCCGCGGUAAUACGUAGGGUGCAAGCG